Molecule: ribosomal RNA, 406 nt
Filed under: uncultured bacterium
Lineage: Bacteria
Description: partial 16S ribosomal RNA
Rfam family: Bacterial small subunit ribosomal RNA
Source: RNAcentral
AUUGAACGCUGGCGGCAUGCCUAACACAUGCAAGUCGAACGAGUGGCGGACGGGUGAGCAAUUUCUGGGAAACUGCCUGAUGGAGGGGGCUAACUACUGGAAACGGUAGCUAAUACCGCAUACCAUCCGAUGGGCCCAGAUGGGAUUAGCGUGUUGGUGGGGUAACGGCGCACCAAGGCGAAGAUACCUAGCUGGUCUGAGAGGAUGACCAGCCACACGGGAACUGAGACACGGUCCAGACUCCUACGGGAGGCAGCAGUGGGGAAUAUUGCGCAAUGGGCGCAAGCCUGAUGCAGCCAUGCCGCGUGUAUGAAGAAGGUCUUCGGGUUGUAAAGUACUUUCGGCGGAGAGGCGUUACCCACAGAGGAAGCAACGGCUAACUCCGUGCCAGCAGCCGCGGUAAUAC